Molecule: ribosomal RNA, 253 nt
Filed under: uncultured bacterium
Lineage: Bacteria
Description: partial 16S ribosomal RNA
Rfam family: Bacterial small subunit ribosomal RNA
Source: RNAcentral
UACGAAGGGGGCUAGCGUUGCUCGGAAUCACUGGGCGUAAAGGGUGCGUAGGCGGGGCUUUAAGUCAGGGGUGAAGUCCUGGAGCUCAACUCCAGAACUGCCUUUGAUACUGAAGAUCUUGAGUUCGGGAGAGGUGAGUGGAACUGCGAGUGUAGAGGUGAAAUUCGUAGAUAUUCGCAAGAACACCAGUGGCGAAGGCGGCUCACUGGCCCGAUACUGACGCUGAGGCACGAAAGCGUGGGGAGCAAACAGG